GCCGGCCAGCAACGUAUUUGUAACAGUUGACGGUCGCUCAACCAAGCAAACUCACGGAGCACGGUCGAAGCUUAUUCUGAUAAUCAUAUUAAGCAAAAAUUCACAAUGCAGCGCCAUUGUAUGUCAAAAUCAGGUGGUAUAUAAGCAUAAUAUAGUAAAUUACGUGCUUAUAAAUAAUUAAUAAACACUAUCUAAGCAUACAAAAUACAGAGAAUAAAAUGAUUCAAUUAUGUGUCAGACGAACGGCACAUAAACACACGGAAUUCUCAUUGACACGAAAAUCAUAAAAUAUUAAUAUUAUUUUAUGUAGCUCGUAGAUCUUAUUGCAAUCGCUGGCUCGCUGUAUUCCAAACACUAUGUCCUCGCGUGUCUUCGGGUUGAGGUCCAAUUGCUUACAAAGCUACGAACAUCACACGAGGUAUGGUUAACAUUUCGGUUGUCUCUCUUUUACACAACUUUAGAUAUCGAUAAAAACUUUCCUAUACUCGAAGUCGACAUGUUAAUUGUAGAUUUUGGAGGAUACUCAGUAACUCUUCAUUUUGUAUUUAUACGUGUUCCACACAAUUAUCACUGUAAACAGGGUUUACGUACUUAAACUGUAUUAACAAGAUAAUCGUGUAAUGGUGAAGAGUUGUGUUUUCUUUGAGGUUUUUAUAGCAGUUAGUGUUCAUAUUUUGGACUUCUGGUUUGUGACGCAGCGAAGUGGUUACCAAAGUUUCGAAGCUUUCAACCCUGAAGAUCACCAUCUGAUUGUGUUUGGGGCUUCAAGAUGACUUCUGCAGCGAAUCUUCUGGUAUUAAUGCUGGUUGCGUGGAACAGGGUCCAGGGGCAACUGGGACAAAUUCCAUUUCAGAAUCAAGUUCCAUUCCAGGGACAAUUUCCCGUUCCCAUACAGGGUCAGUACCCAUAUCAAAACCAGUAUCCAAUUCAGUUACCGUAUCCCCUCCAGGGUCAACUCCCUUUCCAAGGCCAACUGGCGCCCCAGGGGCAGACCCCAGAAAUAACGCACCCGCCGGCCUCCUGCAGGUACUGGUGCCAGUCUCCGGGGAUUCUGCGUCACUUUUACUGUUGCCCCAUGGGCGGUAAGCCCGGCACGUGCCCGCAGAUCAGCCAUGAGGUGUGUAUGAACUACACUCCAAGGCUUGAUGUCGUGACCUGCACGUUCGAUUACAGCUGCGGUGAGACUGACAAGUGCUGCUUCGAUCCUUGCCUCAACAAAUACACCUGCCAACUCGCAGCGACGCCAAGGGUCGGUUAGCGAAACUAAUAGCGACGGUGACAACCUCUGCCGGAAUUACAACGUGCUGCAUUUGCGACAAGGCAAAUCCCAGGCUCGGAUGUCACGACUCGAUAUUUAAUACACUUCCGCUUUCAAAAUUCCUAGGUUAAGUUUUCUUGUUUUUCAAUGUUGUUCUGCUGCUUCUAAUCCUCACCCUCUUCCAUCACAUCAUUUUCCUCUGUUCUAUGCUUCUCUUUCUAACUAUCACUUCUGAUAUAUCUUUCUCCUUCUUCGUACUGCGAUAAAACCGUUUGCUUCGAGAUAUCGAACUCACGUUUAUAUCUAAAUCUGAAUCUCCCCACGUAAUAACAGCUUUAUCUUACAUUCCUUUCUUAGUUUUAUCAACUGUUUUCAUUGUAACUUGAUCAAAUUUAUUUCUACCUGUUUUGAUAUUGUUUAUAAUGCAUUCAUAAUUUUUUUCCACUCUCAAAACUUACUCUUAAAAUCAUCCUUAUCAGAUAUGUUUUUUUAUCUUAGUUUUUCUUAAUAUUCUUGAUGCACUGCCAAUAUAUGAAGGUAAUUUAACAAACGUAUUAUAACGUUUGAGUUUUAUAUGAAUAUUAUUUUAUCUCCCUGUGUGUAAAAAUAUUUUCCCUGUUAGGUGUAUACCGUUUGUUUCAGUAUCACAUGUUUUUAACUUGGUUGAUAUGUAGAAAAUCUGGCAACGUCUUUCAACGACAAUUUAAUAUUUUAAAGAUGUGAUCCUACCUCAAAUAAAACAAUUCAUACCAACAUCAUGAAGUUUAAUAUUUGAAUUUAUUAGCAUUCCCAGCAGAUGGCACUAGUAGUUUAAAAUUCGUUUAACUGGAAUCUAAUUUUCAAGUUCGUAAUUUAUACAGAAUAAACCAGAUAUGCAUACAAACAAAUGAUAAUUUUGAGCUCUGUAAUUUUUAUCAGUAAUUCGCAGGGCCACUCAAUAUAUUUAGUAAGUGAUAAUACUCGAGAUAAUACAAGAUUGUGAAUAUUGUGUAAGUAGUAAGGACAUUUUGUAUUGGAACAAACCAAUUGAUGGCAUUUUUUUUGCAAAGUUUUCGGAAAAUGUUUCAAAUGCUAUAGGUUUACUCUUUGUUUGUAUCGUAACUUCAAAAAUUUCUGGGACGGAAGAGAAUACAGCGAAAAUGAGGCAGGUAGUGUGAUCAAAAUUUGCAAUCGACUACGAAAAUCGACGAAGGAAACCAUUCAAAUGUUUCUCGCGAUAUGUAUCGAAUUUUAUCGAUUUACGAGAACAAAAAAACAGAUGUCGAUUCAAGGAAUUUCGUUGUCAGAUGUCGUGAAUUUUGACUUCCAGAAAUAUUUUCAACACUUUUACGAAUACUGACUGAAGGGCAGAUCUUCAGAAAGACUGUAGUUUGUAAAGGUAAGUCUAACUUAAUUAAAAAAAAAUAGCUCCAGUCCCGAAACUUUUUGAAACUACUAUGUAUUUUAUAUAAUUACACGAAAGAAUCAAAAUAAAUAAGUUAGUAUUGGUGUAUAAUA
Zootermopsis nevadensis is the source of this 2755-nucleotide non-coding RNA. Lineage: Eukaryota; Metazoa; Arthropoda; Insecta; Blattodea; Termopsidae. The record is from RefSeq and is a predicted model, not a curated record.